This 253-nucleotide ribosomal RNA is filed under the name uncultured bacterium. RNAcentral's name for it is "partial 16S ribosomal RNA". It matches the Rfam family "Bacterial small subunit ribosomal RNA", at positions 524 to 776 of the family's 1533-position model. The record is from RNAcentral.
UACGUAGGGUGCAAGCGUUGUCCGGAAUUAUUGGGCGUAAAGAGCUCGUAGGCGGUCUGUCGCGUCGGAUGUGAAAAUCCAGGGCUGAACCCUGGACCUGCAUUCGAUACGGGCAGACUAGAGUUCGGUAGGGGAGACUGGAAUUCCUGGUGUAGCGGUGAAAUGCGCAGAUAUCAGGAGGAACACCGGUGGCGAAGGCGGGUCUCUGGGCCGAAACUGACGCUGAGGAGCGAAAGCGUGGGGAGCGAACAGG